Molecule: ribosomal RNA, 489 nt
Filed under: Sancus acoreensis
Lineage: Eukaryota; Metazoa; Arthropoda; Arachnida; Araneae; Tetragnathidae
Description: partial 16S ribosomal RNA
Rfam family: Bacterial large subunit ribosomal RNA (bases 1-287)
Source: RNAcentral
CCUAUCAAACUUUACUUUAGUUUAACUGGGGCAGUUAAUUAAUAAAAAUUUUAAUAAAGAUUAAGUACUAAAUAGANNNCCCAACANUAGUUGAUUACANUGAACAAGUUACUGUAGGGAUAACAGCGUAAUAUAUAUCUAAAGUUCUUAUUUUGAUAUAAGUUUGCGACCUCGAUGUUGAAUUNAUAUUACUUUCAAGCGCAAGAGCCUGAAAAGUGGGUCUGUUCGACCCCUAAAUAUAUACAUGAUUUGAGUUCAAAUCGGUGUAAACCAGAUUGGUUUCUAUCUAUUNUUAUUUGUGUCUUAGUACGAAAGGACCUGAAACAAUAUUAUAUAAUNAUUUAUAUGGCAGAAAAAUGCUUUAGAUUUAGGAUCUAAUUAUAAUAGAUUAUUAUACUCUAUUUAACUUGCCUAAUCUCUGUUAUUAGAAUCCUUAUCGCAGUAGCUUUUUAUACCCUCCUAGAGCGAAAAAUUCUAAGCUACAUCCAA